This 863-nucleotide ribosomal RNA is filed under the name uncultured bacterium. Its description in RNAcentral is "bacterial SSU rRNA". It matches the Rfam family "Bacterial small subunit ribosomal RNA", at positions 630 to 1504 of the family's 1533-position model. The record is from RNAcentral.
AAACUUUUCAGCUAGAGUAUGAUAGAGGAAAGCAGAAUUUCUAGUGUAGAGGUGAAAUUCGUAGAUAUUAGAAAGAAUACCAAUUGCGAAGGCAGCUUUCUGGAUCAUUACUGACACUGAGGAACGAAAGCAUGGGUAGCGAAGAGGAUUAGAUACCCUCGUAGUCCAUGCCGUAAACGAUGUGUGUUAGACGUUGGAAAUUUAUUUUCAGUGUCGCAGCGAAAGCGAUAAACACACCGCCUGGGGAGUACGACCGCAAGGUUAAAACUCAAAUGAAUUGACGGGGACCCGCACAAGUAGUGGAGCAUGUGGUUUAAUUCGAAGAUACGCGCAGAACCUUACCAACACUUGACAUGUUCGUCGCGACUUUAAGAGAUUAAAGUUUUCGGUUCGGCCGGACGAAACACAGGUGCUGCAUGGCUGUCGUCAGCUCGUGUCGUGAGAUGUUGGGUUAAGUCCCGCAACGAGCGCAACCCUCACUUUUAGUUGCCAUCAUUAAGUUGGGCACUCUGAAAGAACUGCCAGUGAUAAGCUGGAGGAAGGUGGGGAUGACGUCAAGUCCUCAUGGCCCUUACGUGUUGGGCUACACACGUGCUACAAUGGUAUCUACAACAGGAAGCAAGACGGCGACGUUAAGCAAAUCCUUAAAAGAUACCUCAGUUCGGAUUGCACUCUGCAACUCGAGUGCAUGAAGCUGGAAUUACUAGUAAUCGUGGAUCAGCGUGCCACGGUGAAUGCGUUCCCGGGUCUUGUACACACCGCCCGUCACACCAUGGGAGUUGGUUCUACCUUAAGGCAAGGUUUUAAACCCUUGACCACGGUAUAGUCAGCGACUGGGGUGAAGUCGUAACAAGGUAGCCGUA